UCGAGAAUCAUUCACAAUGGGGGAGACCCUGAUGGUGCGACGCCGCGUGGGGGAAUGAAGGUCUUCGGAUUGUAAACCCCUGUCAUGUGGGAGCAAAUUAAAAAGAUAGUACCACAAGAGGAAGAGACGGCUAACUCUGUGCCAGCAGCCGCGGUAAUACAGAGGUCUCAAGCGUUGUUCGGAAUCACUGGGCGUAAAGCGUGCGUAGGCGGUUUCGUAAGUCGUGUGUGAAAGGCGGGGGCUCAACCCCCGGACUGCACAUGAUACUGCGAGACUAGAGUGAUGGAGGGGGAACCGGAAUUCUCGGUGUAGCAGUGAAAGGCGUAGAUAUCGAGAGGAACACUCGUGGCGAAGGCGGGUUCCUGGACAUUAACUGACGCUGAGGCACGAAGGCCAGGGGAGCGAAAGGG
RNAcentral lists this ribosomal RNA (410 nucleotides) under Acidobacteriota bacterium. Its description in RNAcentral is "Acidobacteria bacterium partial 16S ribosomal RNA". It matches the Rfam family "Bacterial small subunit ribosomal RNA", at positions 355 to 776 of the family's 1533-position model. The record is from RNAcentral. Lineage: Bacteria; Pseudomonadati; Acidobacteriota.